GGGGCUGAUUCUGGAUUCGACGGGAUUUGCGAAACCCAAGGUGCAUGCCGAGGGGCGGUUGGCCUCGUAAAAAGCCGCAAAAAAUAGUCGCAAACGACGAAAACUACGCUUUAGCAGCUUAAUAACCUGCUUAGAGCCCUCUCUCCCUAGCCUCCGCUCUUAGGACGGGGAUCAAGAGAGGUCAAACCCAAAAGAGAUCGCGUGGAAGCCCUGCCUGGGAUUGAAGCGUUAAAACUUAAUCAGGCUAGUUUGUUAGUGGCGUGUCCGUCCGCAGCUGGCAAGCGAAUGUAAAGACUGACUAAGCAUGUAGUACCGAGGAUGUAGGAAUUUCGGACGCGGGUUCAACUCCCGCCAGCUCCACCA
Molecule: transfer-messenger RNA, 363 nt
Filed under: Escherichia coli
Lineage: Bacteria; Pseudomonadati; Pseudomonadota; Gammaproteobacteria; Enterobacterales; Enterobacteriaceae
Description: Standard tmRNA
Rfam family: transfer-messenger RNA
About the family: Bacterial tmRNA, also known as 10Sa RNA or SsrA, is named for its dual tRNA and mRNA-like properties. Its role is to liberate the mRNA from a stalled ribosome. To accomplish this part of the tmRNA is used as a reading frame that ends in a translation stop signal.
Source: RNAcentral